UGGGGAAUAUUGCACAAUGGGGGAAACCCUGAUGCAGCGACGCCGCGUGAGCGAAGAAGGUUUUCGAAUCGUAAAGCUCUGUCCUAUGAGAAGAUAAUGACGGUAUCAUAGGAGGAAGCCCCGGCUAAAUACGUGCCAGCAGCCGCGGUAAUACGUAUGGGGCGAGCGUUGUCCGGAAUUAUUGGGCGUAAAGGGUACGUAGGCGGUCUAUUAAGUCAGGUGUGAAAGCGUGAGGCUUAACCUCAUUAAGCACUUGAAACUGAUAGACUUGAGUGAAGGGGAGGAAAGUGGAAUUCCUAGUGUAGCGGUGAAAUGCGUAGAUAUUAGGAGGAAUAACGGUGGCGAAGGCGACUUUCUGGCCAUAAUCUGACGCUGAGGUACGAAAGCGUGGGUAGCAAACAGG
This 403-nucleotide ribosomal RNA is filed under the name Verrucomicrobiota bacterium. Its description in RNAcentral is "Verrucomicrobia bacterium partial 16S ribosomal RNA". It matches the Rfam family "Bacterial small subunit ribosomal RNA", at positions 355 to 776 of the family's 1533-position model. The record is from RNAcentral. Lineage: Bacteria; Pseudomonadati; Verrucomicrobiota.